UAGGUCUCUGAUCAUAAAAUGUGUGGACUUCUUUGAAGUCACAUGGUUGUUUAUAAACUGAAGCUGAAAAACUGAAACUGAAAGCAGGUGGAUAACCUAUUAAAGCACAUUCUCCCUGUCAACAUUGCAGUGUCACGCUGUCCAGAGCCACAUAAGUAAAAGUUGGAAACUGACUGGCUGUUAAUAUAAGUGGAGCUACUGUUACAUUUUUCAAAUAUUAAUGCCAGUAAGUCAAAAUUAGAAGUUUUAAAAUAGGUCUCUGAUCAUAAAAUGUGUGGACUUCUUUGAAGUCACAUGGUUUUCUAUAAACUGAAAAACUGAAACUGAAAGCAGGAGGAUAACCUAUUAAAGUACAGUCUCCCCGUCAACAUUGCAGUGUCACGCUGUCCAGAGCCACAUAAGUAAAGCUAUGGGAGGAGCAACUUUUAGUAAGCCAUGGAGGACUAUGCCGCAUACACAACUUACAAAAUCCAGAAAGACCCAGCAAGGUUUUAUUCUUUCAUUUUCAAUGACAUCAUGGGCUUUGAGCAAAACACCAACAGUGGAGUUUGUGUGGAAGACGUGAAAUUGGCCCUGAGUGGACAUGUGACAGAAGGUUACCAGUGUGAAACCAUUGGCAGGAAUGUGUAUCGCAUCACCCGUGUACACGAGACAAACAACCCACUCAUAGAGAAACUGCUCCAUAGCUCUACUAGAGAUCAAAAACUCCACAGGUUCACUCCUGAACACCAACUGACCGAGAGUGAUCAAGGCUACAACUCAUCUCCCACUCUGGAAGACAGUGUUCACGUUCUGGUUUGUGUCGUUCCUGUCGGCACAGUAUCUUUAUUAAGUGACGAAGUUGUGAAUGUUAACGAAGCGUCGUGGGUGAGUCCGUGGAGUAUGAGCGGCUGGAGUAGAAGCUCUGUCCUUCAUACUAACGAGACCGGACACUGACUGAGGUGAAGAGUGGGAAUUUAUGGAGGAGUAGAGUGGCUGAUUGCGUUCAGGUGUGUUAUGGGUAACAGGUGCUGGGGAUUAGUAUUCAGGUGAGGGGGUGCGGUGUGGCUGAGGUGUGGUGGAGCCUGGCGUGUCUGUGACAGUGAAGAAGAUGAGAGAAGUCAGACCAUGUCAGCCAGUGACAUGGGUAAGAGCUGACAUCACUAUAGUUAUUACUCUGUGUGCACUAAUGGUGCCAUGUUGGGUUUUAUGAAUCAAAAUACCAGCAGAGCAAAUGCUUAAAAUACUGAUUAGGUUUCUGUAUCGGCAGGGAUUCCUCAAAUGGCUAUUCUCACCAAAGUUGAUGAAGCCUGUCCUGAGGUCAAAAAAGAUAUAAACAAUGUCUAUAAAAGCAUGUACCUGAAGCAACAGGUUAGUGUCUGAUGGUGAUUCUUUUAAAGCGUUUUUAGAUUUGUAAUCUUGGAAUGUAAUUUAAGUUAAGUUCAGUAUUUCAGCAUGAAAAUCUCUUUUGGUCACAACUUUGCAAUUACUGAUCAUCUGAAAUGCUGUUAUUUUAAAACUUAGGUCGAUUUAAUUCAGCAUGUUGCUGGGUAUUCCACCAAACUGCAUCUUUCUUGUGAAGAACUACGAAUCUGAAAUCAACACGAAUGAUGCCAUUGAUACGCUGACACUGAUCGCACUGAGACAGAUGAUUAACUUUGGAGAAGACUUCCUCAACUACCUGUAGACCUACAUACCACUGAAACAAAACUUGCAUGAUCAAGACUUGAAAAAACAAUAAUCUGCAUGAUUUUAUUAGUUGAAGAGGUCAGACAACACCGAACAGACAUCAACAACUACCACUGGACACGCUUUGAAUCAUUACUUGAGGUAAACCAUCACUCAACAGCUGAGGUAAGAAUUUCUUAUGAUAUUUAUACUGAUAAAUGUGGUUUUACAGUUUGCUAUUAAGAAGUAAAAUGUGCGUUUUUAGAAUUAAGUAAGACACACAGAUCUUUUACCUACAGUACCUCCUCUUUUCUGCUCAUUUUUGAAACCAUUAUUUUAAUUAUUUCUUAGUUUAUAUUUUCUCUAAAAUUUUAAUAAAGUAUUUGUGUGCACAUCAUAAUAAUGUAUCUUGUUAUCGCUAA
RNA transcript from Siniperca chuatsi (mandarin fish), 2069 nucleotides. It is a transcript of the gene named interferon-induced protein 44-like, with no coding region annotated. NCBI's taxonomy places the organism in Eukaryota, Metazoa, Chordata, Actinopteri, Centrarchiformes, Sinipercidae. The record is from RefSeq and is a predicted model, not a curated record. The transcript has 8 exons.